GGAGAGGUCGCAUAGUUGGUCUAGUGCGCCGCACUCGAAAUGCGGUAGGGGCGUAAGCUCCUCGUGGGUUCGAAUCCCACCCUCUCCG
This 88-nucleotide transfer RNA is filed under the name bacterium. RNAcentral's name for it is "tRNA-Ser". It matches the Rfam family "tRNA". Rfam says of the family: Transfer RNA (tRNA) molecules are approximately 80 nucleotides in length. The record is from RNAcentral.